CUCCACUAACAAAUCAAUUUUCUCUUCGCUUGGUUUACGAUCUACAGCCCAUUGAAAAUUAUUACAUCUUUUACAAAGCCAAAAUUUACGAUUUGGAUUCUUUGUUGUACGUGACGUUAAUAACUCCAUGUAAUUACCGCAUCCGUUACAUAGCUGCUGUGAGUUUCGAAUUUCACUUGUGCUAGUUGACAUUGUGGUUAAUUGAUUU
Molecule: long non-coding RNA, 208 nt
Filed under: Citrus maxima (pomelo)
Lineage: Eukaryota; Viridiplantae; Streptophyta; Magnoliopsida; Sapindales; Rutaceae
Description: long non-coding RNA (CMAX_LNC001974)
Source: RNAcentral